This 175-nucleotide ribosomal RNA is filed under the name uncultured bacterium. RNAcentral's name for it is "partial 16S ribosomal RNA". It matches the Rfam family "Bacterial small subunit ribosomal RNA", at positions 118 to 291 of the family's 1533-position model. The record is from RNAcentral.
UGAGGAACAUGACUUUCGGUGGGGGUAGCCGGCCCAACGGCCGGGUAAUACCGCGUACGACCUCUUGGGGACAUCCCCGGGUGAUGAAAGCAGCAAUGCGCCGAAAAGAGUGCCUCGCGGCCUAUCAGCUAGUUGGUGGGGUAAUGGCUCACCAAGGCGACGACGGGUAGCUGGU